AGCCUCGGGUGGCAGGCAGGGCCAGGCUGGGCCGGGCGGGACCCUGGACUGAGUCCUGCCUUGCGUCUGGCCACCAGCCCAAGGCACACCCCUGAGGGACUUCACCCCGGCCUGGCUGCAGCCCCACGGCCCGCCCUGCUGGCCCUACGGGUGGCUUUACAGUGGAAGCUGAUCUUUGGUCUCAGGUGAAAGCUAGGUUGGAGCUGUCCGGGUUUCUGUACAUUGCCCUCGCGGUCCUAUUCUCUUGUUUCGCUGGAAAGUCAAGUGAGGAGAAAGGGGGCAACCAGGCAUAUUGGUGUACGCCUGAGUCAGGAGGAUCAGAAGUUCAAGGGUUCUGAAACAAUGGGAUAUACAAAGCAGAAGUAGUUCAAACAAGGUAAAGACAGAAUAAACAAUGACAAUUAGCCAAAGAACAGCUUGAAAUGCCUGUUUCCUAAGUGUUGAGAUCAGGCCUUGCCUCACUCUAAGUUAUGCCAUCUUAUGUAAAACUGUGUGUUUUCAGGCUGUGCCUUGCCUGGGGAGAGUGUUUCACAAGUAGCAUUGAGCUUCAUUUUGAGUGCAAACACGAAGACACAUGACUCUGAACCGUGUGCACAUAAAACACCACCAUUCUCCCAGCACCCACAAAACACAGAC
RNAcentral lists this long non-coding RNA (636 nucleotides) under Cricetulus griseus (Chinese hamster). RNAcentral describes it as "lncRNA (ENSCGRG00015037206.1)". The record is from RNAcentral. Lineage: Eukaryota; Metazoa; Chordata; Mammalia; Rodentia; Cricetidae.